Molecule: ribosomal RNA, 465 nt
Filed under: Vreelandella stevensii
Lineage: Bacteria; Pseudomonadati; Pseudomonadota; Gammaproteobacteria; Oceanospirillales; Halomonadaceae
Description: partial 16S ribosomal RNA
Rfam family: Bacterial small subunit ribosomal RNA
Source: RNAcentral
CCUACGGGAGGCAGCAGUGGGGAAUAUUGGACAAUGGGCGAAAGCCUGAUCCAGCCAUGCCGCGUGUGUGAAGAAGGCCUUCGGGUUGUAAAGCACUUUCAGUGGGGAAGAAAGCCUUGGGGCUAAUACCCUCGAGGAAGGACAUCACCCACAGAAGAAGCACCGGCUAACUCCGUGCCAGCAGCCGCGGUAAUACGGAGGGUGCGAGCGUUAAUCGGAAUUACUGGGCGUAAAGCGCGCGUAGGCGGUCUGAUAAGCCGGUUGUGAAAGCCCCGGGCGCAACCUGGGAACGGCAUCCGGAACUGUCAGGCUAGAGUGCAGGAGAGGAAGGUAGAAUUCCCGGUGUAGCGGUGAAAUGCGUAGAGAUCGGGAGGAAUACCAGUGGCGAAGGCGGCCUUCUGGACUGACACUGACGCUGAGGUGCGAAAGCGUGGGUAGCAAACAGGAUUAGAUACCCCUGUAGUC